RNAcentral lists this ribosomal RNA (530 nucleotides) under uncultured bacterium. RNAcentral's name for it is "bacterial SSU rRNA". It matches the Rfam family "Bacterial small subunit ribosomal RNA", at positions 979 to 1509 of the family's 1533-position model. The record is from RNAcentral.
UCUUGACAUCCAGCGAACUUUCCAGAGAUGGAUUCGGUGCCUUCGGGAACGCUGAGACAGGUGCUGCAUGGCUGUCGUCAGCUCGUGUUGUGAAAUGUUGGGUUAAGUCCGCAACGAGCGCAACCCUUAUCCUUUGUUGCCAGCGAUUCGGUCGGGAACUCAAAGGAGACUGCCGGUGAUAAACCGGAGGAAGGUGGGGAUGACGUCAAGUCAUCAUGGCCCUUACGAGUAGGGCUACACACGUGCUACAAUGGCGCAUACAAAGAGAAGCGACCUCGCGAGAGCAAGCGGACCUCAUAAAGUGCGUCGUAGUCCGGAUCGGAGUCUGCAACUCGACUCCGUGAAGUCGGAAUCGCUAGUAAUCGUGGAUCAGAAUGCCACGGUGAAUACGUUCCCGGGCCUUGUACACACCGCCCGUCACACCAUGGGAGUGGGUUGCAAAAGAAGUAGGUAGCUUAACCCUCGGGAGGGCGCUUACCACUUUGUGAUUCAUGACUGGGGUGAAGUCGUAACAAGGUAAGCGUACGUGU